Molecule: non-coding RNA, 296 nt
Organism: Cucurbita pepo subsp. pepo (vegetable marrow)
Lineage: Eukaryota; Viridiplantae; Streptophyta; Magnoliopsida; Cucurbitales; Cucurbitaceae
Source: RefSeq, a predicted model, not a curated record
AAAACAUUGUAGCAUCUACUUUUGGGGAGCAGAAGCUCGAGUCGUUAUCUUCGGAGAAGAAAACGAGAUGGAGAAGAGAAAUAGAAUGGUUUUUAUCUGUAACCGAUCACAUUGUUGAAUUUGUCCCUUCAAAACAAAGGACAAAAGCUGGAAUAGACAUGGAGAUCAUGGUGACUUUACAAAGGAAUGAUUUGCUCAUGAACAUUCCAGCACUUAGAAAACUAGAUGCCAUGUUAAUUGGUUACCUGGAUCAAUUUGGUAAACUAGAUGAAUUUUGGUAUGUAUCAAGAGAUGAU